Long non-coding RNA from Scylla paramamosain (green mud crab), 992 nucleotides. RefSeq lists it as uncharacterized. The transcript has 2 exons. The record is from RefSeq and is a predicted model, not a curated record. NCBI's taxonomy places the organism in Eukaryota, Metazoa, Arthropoda, Malacostraca, Decapoda, Portunidae.
AGUAACUGAAAGAGAAGAAAAACAUUAAUUAUCUUGCCAGCAGUGUUUGUUUGUGUGUACGUGUGUGUGUCUUGUAUCAGAUUAAGUAGUGUAUCAUGGAUCUCAAAUAAUGUAGGUAAGAUAUAUCACAUCAUUUUAACAAACAAACAAACAAACAAACUGAGAGAGAGAGAGAGAGAAAUUGAAUAUAUAGAUGGAUAAUUUGAUACAUACAUACAUACACACACUAGAUUAAGAUAUUAUUAUUUUAAACGCACCUCUUCUUCCUCUUCCUCCUCCUCCUCUUCCUUAUGGCCUUCCUCUGUGUGUCCUCUCCUCUUUCUGACACACAAACUGGAAGAGAGAGAAUAAAAUUAAUAAAACCAAUAAAUAAAUAAAUAAAUAAAUAAAUAAAUAAAUAAAUAAAUAAAUAAAUAAAUAAAUAAAUAAACAAACAAACAAACAAAGCCAACCCUUUAUCAACUAGGUGUUCAGACAAAUGCCUCUUAGAUCAGCUGCAUACAGGUGACAGGUGUGGGUUGGGAGGGGCUGCCACAGAACGCAGCACUGCCCCCCCGCCCCCACACCCUCACCUGUAUUCUGACUCGUCAUCUGCUCAUCCCCACACCUGUACGUCACUAAUUAGACAGAAUAACUACUUAAUUUACCUGUACAAAUGUUUAAUUAAUCCCUAGUCUUAUAAUUUAAUCUGUAGAAUUAACUGUGCAGUCUUAAUUAACCUGUAAAAUCUCUUAAUUAACUUAAUUAACUUUUAAAAUACCUAUAGAAUUAACUGUAUACUCUUAAUUAACCUGAAAUAUCUCUUAAUUAAUUUAUACAGCCUUAAUUAACCUGUAUAAAUGAUUAAUUAACAUGUAAAGGCUUCAACUCACCUGUACAGCACAUAAUUCACUUGUAAAUGGCGGCCAGGUUAACGAGGUUCAUAUUUUCUUCAGCUGUGGAGGAAAGGUUUGGGAAUCAGUGCUUGAGUGGUAAAGAUCUCUCUCUCUCUC